AAAGAAAGUAAGCAAGGGCGCAUGGCGGAUGCCUUGGCUCUCGGAGGCGAUGAAGGACGUGAUAAGCUGCGAUAAGCUUCGGGCAGGUGCAAAUAACCUUUGAUCCGAAGAUUUCCGAAUGGGACAACCCGUCAUUCUGAAGGAAUGACAUCUUGCAUAGCAAGAGGCUAACGCAGGGAACUGAAACAUCUUAGUACCUGUAGGAAAAGAAAAUAAUAAUGAUUCCCCUAGUAGUGGCGAGCGAACGGGGAUUAGCCCAAACCAAUGUUGUUACGGCAAUAUUGGGGUUGUAGGACCACGAUGUCGCAAGAAGUUUAGUGAGAAGAACCCUUUGGAAAAUGGGACCAUAGACGGUGAUAGUCCGGUAUUCGAAGCUAAAUGAAGCGUAGUGGUAUCCUGAGUAGCGCGGGACACGAGGAAUCUUGCGUGAAUCUGCCGGGACCAUCCGGUAAGGCUAAAUACUCCCGAGAGACCGAUAGCGAACCAGUACUGUGAAGGAAAGGUGAAAAGCACUUCGAAUAGAAGAGUGAAAUAGUCCCUGAAACCGUGCGCCUACAAGCGGUCGGAGCUGCUUCAGCAGUGACGGCGUGCCUUUUGCAUAAUGAACCUACGAGUUACUUUUUCCGGCAAGGUUAAGGAUCUUGAGAUCCGCAGCCGAAGCGAAAGCGAGUCUUAAUAGGGCGAUUAGUCGGAAGGAGUAGACGCGAAACCAAGUGAUCUACCCUUGGUCAGGUUGAAGGUUAGGUAACACUAACUGGAGGACCGAACCGAUAAGCGUUGAAAAGCUUCCGGAUGAACUGAGGGUGGGGGUGAAAGGCUAAUCAAACUUGGAGAUAGCUCGUACUCCCCGAAAUGCAUUUAGGUGCAGCCUUGGGAAUUACUACUGUGAGGUAGAGCGACUGAUAAGAUGCGAGGGCUUCACCGCCUAUCAAGUCUUGAUAAACUCCGAAUGCGCAGUAGUUCGAUCCCAGGAGUGAGGGCAUGGGUGCUAAGGUCCAUGUCCUAAAGGAGAAGAAUCCAGACCAUCAGCUAAGGUCCCGAAAUAAUUGCUAAGUUGAACUAACGAAGUCAGAUUGCUAAGACAGCUAGGAUGUUGGCUUGGAAGCAGCCAUUCAUUUAAAGAGUGCGUAACAGCUCACUAGUCGAGGAGUUUGGCGUGGAUAAUAAUCGGGCAUUAAGCAAUUUACCGAAGCUAUGGGAUGUUAACUAAACACUAACAUCGGUAGGGGAGCAUUCCACUCUGCGUCGAAGGUGAAGCGUGAGCUUUGCUGGAGCGUGUGGAAAAGCAAAUGUAGGUAUAAGUAACGAUAAAGGGGGUGAGAAACCCCCUCGCCGAAAGACUAAGGUUUCCUGAUCAACGCUAAUCGGAUCAGGGUUAGUCGGGUCCUAAGGCUCAGCCGAACGGUGAGGCCGAUGGCAGAACAGGUUAAUAUUCCUGUACUACCUUAAGGAGUGACGUGGAGACGGAGGAGUGACAACGCCGCGGACUGACGGAAUAGUCCGUUGAAGGGUGUAGAUGUUGAUUAUCCCAGGCAAAUCCGGGAUAAGAGUCGAACCUGAUAGUAUACCAAAUUCUUCGGAAUAAGGUAAUAGUGCGUGUAAGCAUACUCCCAAGAAAAUCCGCUAAACUUAAUCUUUAAGGUACCCGUACCGCAAACGGACACACGUAGUCGGGUUGAAUAUACUAAGGCGCUUGAGUGAUUCACGGUUAAGGAACUAGGCAAAUUGACCCUGUAACUUCGGGAUAAAGGGUCCCAACGAGAGUUGGGCGCAGAGAAUAGGUCCAGGCAACUGUUUAACAAAAACACAGGGCUGUGCUAAAUUGAAAGAUUACGUAUACAGCCUGACACCUGCCCGGUGCUGGAAGGUUAAGAGGAGAUGUCAUCGCAAGAGAAGCAUUGAAUUGAAGCCCCAGUAAACGGCGGCCGUAACUAUAACGGUCCUAAGGUAGCGAAAUUCCUUGUCGGGUAAGUUCCGACCUGCACGAAUGGUGUAAUGAUCUGGACACUGUCUCAACCGUGAGCUCAGUGAAAUUGUAGUAUCGGUGAAGAUGCCGAUUACCCGCGAUGGGACGAAAAGACCCCGUGAACCUUUACUAUAGCUUAACAUUGAAUUUGGGUAAUUGAUGUGUAGGAUAGGCCGGAGACUUUGAAGCAGGUACGCCAGUAUUUGUGGAGUCGCUGUUGAAAUACGGCCCUUUGAUUAUUUGAGUUCUAACUCGUAGAUACGAGGACACUGUUUGGUGGGUAGUUUGACUGGGGUGGUCGCCUCCAAAAGUGUAACGGAGGCUUCUAAAGGUGCCCUCAGGACGAUUGGUAACCGUCCGUAGAGUGUAAUGGCAUAAGGGCGCUUGACUGGGAGACAGACAAGUCGAUCAGGUAGGAAACUAGAGCAUAGUGAUCCGGUGUUUCCGUAUGGAAGGGACAUCGCUCAAAGGAUAAAAGGUACUCCGGGGAUAACAGGCUGAUCCCUCCCAAGAGCUCAUAUCGACGGAGGGGUUUGGCACCUCGAUGUCGGCUCGUCACAUCCUGGGGCUGGAGAAGGUCCCAAGGGUUGGGCUGUUCGCCCAUUAAAGUGGCACGCGAGCUGGGUUCAGAACGUCGUGAGACAGUUCGGUCUCUAUCUAUCGUGGGCGUAUGAAAUUUGCGUGGCUCUGACACUAGUACGAGAGGACCGUGUUGGACUGACCGCUGGUUUACCAGUUGUGCCGCCAGGUGCAUUGCUGGGUAUCUAAGUCGGGAUUGGAUAAGUGCUGAAAGCAUCUAAGUACGAAGCCAGCCACAAGAUUAGAUUUCUUAGGGUCGUCAAAGACGAUGACGUUGAUAGGAUGCAGGUGUAAAGGUGGUAACAUCAAAGCCGAGCAUUACUAAUUGCCCGUUCACUUUCUUU
RNAcentral lists this ribosomal RNA (2889 nucleotides) under Bacteroides ovatus. RNAcentral's name for it is "bacterial LSU rRNA". It matches the Rfam family "Bacterial large subunit ribosomal RNA". Lineage: Bacteria; Pseudomonadati; Bacteroidota; Bacteroidia; Bacteroidales; Bacteroidaceae. The record is from RNAcentral. RNAcentral also lists the same sequence under 2 other names.